Long non-coding RNA from Macaca mulatta (Rhesus monkey), 3098 nucleotides. The record is from Ensembl. Lineage: Eukaryota; Metazoa; Chordata; Mammalia; Primates; Cercopithecidae.
AUGCAACCAGAUCAAACCGGAUCAGACCGGCUAAAACCGGUUCAAACCGAAUCAAACCGGAUGGAACCGGAUCAAACCGGAUCAGACCGGAUCAAACCGGUUCGAACCGGAUCAGACUGGCUCAACCGGAUCAAACCGGAUCAGACCGGCUCAAACUGGAUCAGACCGGCUCAAACCGGAUGGAACCGGAUCAAACCGGAUCAGACCGGAUCUAACUGGCUCAAGCUAGUUCAAACCGGAUCAGACUGGUUCAAACCGGAUGGAAACGGAUCAGACCGACUCAAUCCGGAUGGAACCAGAUCAAACCGGAUCAGACCGCAUCAAACCGGAUCAAACCAAAUGGAACUGGAUCAAACCGGCUCAAACCGGUUCGAACCGGAUCAGACUGGUUCAAACCGGAUGGAAACGGAUCAGACCGGCUCUAACCAGAUGGAACCGGAUCAGACCGGAUCAGACCAGCUCAAACCGGGUGGAACCGGAUCAAACCGGAUCAGACCAGCUCAAACCGGUUCAAACCGGAUCAAACCAGAUGGAACCGGAUCAAGCAGGAUCAGACCGGCUCAAACCGGUUCAGGAAAGGGUCCCAGAAUAUCCACGCUAUAGUGAAAACAGUACGGCUACUUGGACCGUGUGCCCUGGCUGACCCUCUGGUUUCAGAAGUAUCAGAUGUGGGAAGAGAUACCAUAUGGAGUUGAAAGCAAGCCCAAGUGGGAAAAGUACAAGGCAAAGUUUUGGGGUUCUGGAGAAAGGCCAUGUGUUGCAGUGGAUAAUUACAUAUCUUUUCAAUAACAACUCCUUUUGAAUUAUAUACUGUUUACAUAUACCUUUUGGGCCCUGGUAGGGAGCACCUAAUCUUGAGACAUUAAGUGACUCUGCAUCCAAAUCUCCCCAUUUCGUAAUAAGUUCUAUCAGAUUUAUCAAGUCAUAAUGUCAAGUGUGGCCAAAGAACCAGUCUCUCAUAUAAUGGAGUUGGAAUACCUAGCAUUGAGCAGCAUGAGCAAGAAAGGAGACCACAAGUGAGUUGUAUGAGAAAUGUGAGGAGCAGGCUCCCAAAGAUGUUCACAGCCUAAUCCCUGGAAUAUGACUAUGUAGGUUAUAUGGGAAAAGGGAAUUAACGUUGCAGAGGGAAUUAAGACUGCUAAUCAUCUAAGUUUAAGAUAGCAAGGUUAUCUUGGAUAUCUGGAUGGCCUGAUGUAACCACAAUGAUUCUUAAAAAUGAGAAAAGGGAGAAUCAGAGAUUCAGAGGGAAAUGUGACCAUGAAAGAGGCAUAGAGAGAUGGAACACUGCUGGCUUUGAAGAUGGAGGAAGGGGCCGUGAACCAAGAAAUGUGAGUGAGCUCUAGGAGAAAGAAGAGGCAAGGAAAUAGAUUCUCUUCUAAAUCCUCCAGAAGAGAACUUCAUUUUAGUCCAGCAAGAUACAUGUCAGAUGUCUGACCUAUACAGGCCUAUACUUGGGCCUGGGAAACAAAGGGUAGAGGCAGGAAGGGCCCUGCUUACCUUUAUCUGUAUUCCUAAUAAUACACUUAGGGAAUUUGUGCUUCCUGUCUCUCUGUCUGCCAUCCAUGGCCCUGCCAGCCCCCAAGUCAGGACUCUGUAGGAUGAAAGGUCCUGAUUCCCUAUGGGGGCACACUUCUGCCAGGGGACAUGGAAAGAGUCCCGCUGAACUCUAAGCCAUAGCUUCUGCCUGUCACUGCAAAGACUUUGUAUCCAGAGACCAUUAUGCAAGAAGAGUCACUGUCUGGGCUCAGGCAAUUAACCCAGUUCUUCAGGAGGAGGAAGUGCUUAUGUGACCCAGUAAGGGCAGGAAGAAAUAUGUUUGCCACUCACAUGAUCCAUUUGGACCCUACUUGACCAAAUUUGAUAGUAAACAGACAAUUGCACCACCCUAGCUUGAAAAUAGCAUGGGAGCCAGGGUCUCAGACCCCUCAGAAAUGAAGAUUUGGGUCACGCCACCAGGUAAGACACCAAUACUAGAAGAAGCAUUAUGGGAGACUGAGGGUAAUUUAGAAUGGACACCAGAAAAGGGAGACAGUAAAAAUCAGUCACAUCCCCUAAAUCAAUUGCUCUGAGAAAAAGGAGAAUUCUCUCUGAAAUUCCAAAUAAAAUAAAUUCUCCCUUUUAUUUAUUAUUUUAUUUGAGAGAAUUCUCUCUCAAAUUCCAGCUGUACAUUGUACCAACUAGAAUUUGAAACCAAAAACAAUACCAUUUGUUUGAGCAAUUCCCCUCCUUCCCAUCCAAACUAACUUGCUGAGAUUUUGAUUGCAGUUGCAAUGAAUCUAUAGAACAAGUUGGGAAGAACUGGAAAUGUGACAAUAUUGAGUCUUUCUAUAAAGGUACAUUGAAUAUCUCUCCAUUUCUUUAGUCAUUCUUUGAUUUCAUUCAUCAGAAUUUUGUAGUUUUCUUCAUAAAGAGCUAGUUUAGCCUUUUUAGAUUUAUGCCCCCAGGUGUCCCUUCCCAGUGGAGUUGUAUAGAUAGUGCUAUUUCUCUCAGCCACAAUGUGUGACAAUACACAUGAAGUAUCGUCAACCAGGGAAGCUCAUCUGAGCUUCAGUGUCAGGGUUUUUACUGGGGGCUAGUGAUGUAGAUAUGGCUGACCUUAGUCUCCAGAUCCUGUAGAACUACAGGUAUGCACUACCGUGCCCAGCCCCCUGAAACCUUUAACAAAUAAAAUACAGCAAUAUUUUAAAAGAAUUAUACACUAUGACUAGGUGGGGUUUAUUCCAGGGAUGUAAAUCUCAUUAAAUAUUUGAAAAUCAAUCAAUGCAAUCCACCAUAUUAGCAGUCUAAAGAAAGAAAAUUAUGAUCAUAUCAAUUGAUACCAAAAAAGCAUUUAAUAAAACUCAAUAUCUAUUCAUGACAAAAAAAACCUCUCAGGAAAGUAAGAAUAGAGGGAAACUUCCUCAACUUGAUGAAGAACAUCUAAAAUAAACACCUACAGUUAAUAUCAUAGUUAAUAGUGAAAAACCAGAUGUUAUCUAAAAUUAGAAACAAGGCAAGAAUGUCUAGUCUCAUGACUGUAUUAAACAUAGUACUGGAAAUUACAGGUAAUACAAUUCUAAGUAAGGCAAGAAAGGAAAUGAAAAGCAUAAAGAUCAGAA